Molecule: ribosomal RNA, 438 nt
Filed under: uncultured bacterium
Lineage: Bacteria
Description: partial 16S ribosomal RNA
Rfam family: Bacterial small subunit ribosomal RNA
Source: RNAcentral
AACGAACGCUGGCGGCAUGCCUAACACAUGCAAGUCGAACGAGACCUUCGGGUCUAGUGGCGCACGGGUGCGUAACGCGUGGGAACCUGCCCUUAGGUUCGGAAUAACUCCCCGAAAGGGGUGCUAAUACCGGAUAAUGUCUUCGGACCAAAGAUUUAUCGCCUUUGGAUGGGCCCGCGUUGGAUUAGCUAGUUGGUAGGGUAAAAGCCUACCAAGGCGACGAUCCAUAGCUGGUCUGAGAGGAUGAUCAGCCACACUGGGACUGAGACACGGCCCAGACUCCUACGGGAGGCAGCAGUGGGGAAUAUUGCACAAUGGGCGGAAGCCUGAUGCAGCAACGCCGCGUGCGGGAUGACGGCCUUCGGGUUGUAAACCGCUUUCGCCUGUGACGAAGCGUGAGUGACGGUAAUGGGUAAAGAAGCACCGGCUAACUACGUG